UACGUAGGGUGCAAGCGUUAAUCGGAAUUACUGGGCGUAAAGCGUGCGCAGGCGGUGAUGUAAGACAGAUGUGAAAUCCCCGGGCUCAACCUGGGAACUGCAUUUGUGACUGCAUCGCUGGAGUGCGGCAGAGGGGGAUGGAAUUCCGCGUGUAGCAGUGAAAUGCGUAGAAAUGCGGAGGAACACCGAUGGCGAAGGCAAUCCCCUGGGCCUGCACUGACGCUCAUGCACGAAAGCGUGGGGAGCAAACAGG
RNAcentral lists this ribosomal RNA (253 nucleotides) under uncultured bacterium. RNAcentral's name for it is "partial 16S ribosomal RNA". It matches the Rfam family "Bacterial small subunit ribosomal RNA", at positions 524 to 776 of the family's 1533-position model. The record is from RNAcentral.